AUGGACGCGAGCGUGGAUCGACGUCGCCGUUGUCCGCUCCUCUUCUGCUACUGCUCGGACGCGAACACAAAACUCAGUCGCCGCCGUCCGCUCCUCCUCGCCUCAAGGAUGCGAGCACAUGCCGCCGUCCGCCGGUUGCCGCUCUCCUCUGCCGCCUCAUGGAUGCAAGCGAGGGUCUCCGGCACCAUCGUCCGCUCCACCUCUGCUGCCCCACGGACAUGA
Molecule: ribosomal RNA, 222 nt
Filed under: Triticum aestivum (bread wheat)
Lineage: Eukaryota; Viridiplantae; Streptophyta; Magnoliopsida; Poales; Poaceae
Description: partial small subunit ribosomal RNA
Source: RNAcentral